RNAcentral lists this ribosomal RNA (678 nucleotides) under uncultured archaeon. Its description in RNAcentral is "bacterial SSU rRNA". It matches the Rfam family "Archaeal small subunit ribosomal RNA", at positions 1 to 685 of the family's 1478-position model. The record is from RNAcentral.
UUUCCGGUUGAUCCCGCCGGACCUGACUGCUAUCGGAUUGAUACUAAGCCAUGCGAGUCUUUGUAGUAAUACAAGGCAGACGGCUCAGUAACGCGUAGUCAACCUACCCUAUGGACGGGAAUAAUCUCGGGAAACUGAGCAUAAUACCCGGCGUACCACCAUUCCUGGAAUGGUUGGUGGUUAAAAUGAUUCGUCGCCGUAGGAUGGGACUGCGACCUAUCAGCUUGUUGGUGAGGUAAAGGCCCACCAAGGCGAUUACAGGUACGGGCUCUGAGAGGAGAAGCCCGGAGAUGGGUACUGAGACACGGACCCAGGCCCUAUGGGGCGCAGCAGGCGAGAAAACUUUGCAAUGUGCGAAAGCACGACAAGGUUAAUCCGAGUGAUUUCUGCUAAAGGAAUCUUUUGCCAGUUCUAAAAAUACUAGUGAAUAAGGGGUGGGCAAGUUCUGGUGUCAGCCGCCGCGGUAAAACCAGCACCUCAAGUGGUCAGGAGGAUUAUUGGGCCUAAAGCAUCCGUAGCCUGCUCUGUAAGUUUUCGGUUAAAUCUAUAUGCUCAACAUAUAGGCUGCCGAAAAUACUGCAGUGCUAGGAAGUGGGAGAGGUAGACGGUACUUGAUAGGAAGGGGUAAAAUCCUUUGAUCUAUCGAUGACCACCUGUGGCGAAGGCGGUCUACCAGAA